ACACGCAUGACACACUGCAUAUCAAUAAGCGGAGGAAAAGAAACUAACAAGGAUUCCCUUAGUAACGGCGAGUGAAGCGGGAAGAGCUCAAAUUUGAAAUCUUCAAGGUUUUACCUUGACGAAUUGUAGUUUAAAGAAGUGUUUUCUGUUGAAGUUUUGGUAAAAGUUCUUUGGAAUAGGACAUCAUAGAGGGUGAGAAUCCCGUAUUUGACCAUUAUUUUCAGCUGUGUGAUACACUUUCAAAGAGUCGGAUUGUUUGGGAAUGCAGUCCAAAAUGGGUGGUAAAUUUCAUCUAAAGCUAAAUAUUGGCGAGAGACCGAUAGCGAACAAGUACCGUGAGGGAAAGAUGAAAAGAACUUUGAAAAGAGAGUUAAACAGUACGUGAAAUUGUCAAAAGGGAAGCGUUUGACACCAGUGUUGUUUUCUCGAAAAUCAAUUAAAAAAAGUUGGAUUUUGUGUUGUAUUGACCUUAACAGCUUUCUUCACUCUUUUCCUGCUUUUUUUAAUGCACUUUUCGUUUAACAAGUCAACAUCAGUUUCUUUUGUUGUAAAAAGGUCAUUGGAAGGUGGCUUUCUUUUCGGAGAAAGUGUUUAUAGCCUUUGAUCCCUGCAAUCGGAGAGACUGAGGUCUGCAGCGUAGAUCCUUCGGGGUUAGAUACAUUUGUGCUAAGCUAUAGCUUUUUAUAGACAACUUGUUGACUAUAUUUAGUCUUGUAGCUUACUCGCUUAUGCUAUUUUACCUACGCUUAGGAUGUUGAGCGCAUGUCUCUCUCU
Molecule: ribosomal RNA, 774 nt
Filed under: uncultured Neocallimastigales
Lineage: Eukaryota; Fungi; Neocallimastigomycota; Neocallimastigomycetes; Neocallimastigales
Description: partial large subunit ribosomal RNA
Rfam family: Eukaryotic large subunit ribosomal RNA
Source: RNAcentral